This 370-nucleotide ribosomal RNA is filed under the name uncultured organism. RNAcentral describes it as "bacterial SSU rRNA". It matches the Rfam family "Bacterial small subunit ribosomal RNA", at positions 526 to 896 of the family's 1533-position model. The record is from RNAcentral.
CGUAGGGUGCGAGCGUUAAUCGGAAUUACUGGGCGUAAAGCGUGCGCAGGCGGUUAUAUAAGACAGUUGUGAAAUCCCCGGGCUCAACCUGGGAAUUGCGUCUGUGACUGUAUAGCUAGAGUACGGUAGAGGGGGAUGGAAUUCCGCGUGUAGCAGUGGAAUGCGUAGAUAUGCGGAGGAACACCGAUGGCGAAGGCAAUCCCCUGGACCUGUACUGACGCUCAUGCACGAAAGCGUGGGGAGCAAACAGGAUUAGAUACCCUGGUAGUCCACGCCCUAAACGAUGUCAACUGGUUGUUGGGUGCAUUAGUACUCAGUAACGAAGCUAACGCGUGAAGUUGACCGCCUGGGGAGUACGGCCGCAAGGUUG